Molecule: RNA transcript, 2922 nt
Organism: Globicephala melas (long-finned pilot whale)
Lineage: Eukaryota; Metazoa; Chordata; Mammalia; Artiodactyla; Delphinidae
Gene: MTRF1
Gene name: mitochondrial translation release factor 1
Source: RefSeq, a predicted model, not a curated record
CAGCUCGCCGCGCCGGGCCCGGGGCUGCCAGGGGUGGGCGGCGCAGCCACUGGCCACUUACCAAGAUGCGUUUGAAGAGGUUGCUCUCCUUUGGCGGCAGCUGCACGUUCGGCAUCGCGGCUGGAGAGGAGGCUGGGUGCCCGCGCGCUCCGUUUCGCGGGAUGGGCACCGGGACGAGCCGCGGCUAAGAGUCGUGCUGCGGGCGACGGCUUAUUGUUAGGCACAUGCAAGGACUACUCUUCUGGAGAAGAGUCGAGACGGAAGAGGCGGGAUCAAGCUCUAAGCCGGAAGGGGUGAACCUGGCAAUGAAAGUGAUCCGGUGUCUGUCGGGCUGAAACGUAGUGGACCACAGAAGGUUCAGACCUCCGAAACUUGGAAAACACGAAGAAGUAGGAAAAAAAAGGAAGCAAAAGGAAUCCAUCAUCCCACAACUAGAGAUCAUCUUACUAACGUUUUGAUGCCGAAAUGAAUCGUCACCUGUUUGUUUGGCUUUUUAGACAUCCGUGUCUUAAUGGUCACCACCAGUGCCAUGUCCAUCUCCAUUCUCAUCAACUUACACAGAUACCUCUUGACACAAGGCUGUGGGUUUUUAGACGAAACAGGAAUCCCAUUCUCCAUUGUCUGUUAAGUGAGAAUUGGUCCAGGAGAUAUUGUCAUCAAGAUACCAGGAUGCUCUGGAAGCAUAAAGGACUACAGAAAUACAUGGAGGACCUGAGUAAGGAGUACCAAACACUUGAUCAUUGUUUGCAGCAUAUCUCUGUGAGUGAAGGGGACCGGAGGUCCUUGAAUCAACGGCAUGCUGAGCUGGCUCCGCUUGCAGUCAUUUACAAAGAAAUUCAGGAGGCUGAACAAGCCAUUGAAGAAUUAGAAUCAAUGUGUAAAAGUCUCAAUAAAGAAGAUGAAAAGCAGUUACAAGAACUUGCUUUGGAAGAGAGGCAAACCAUUCUUCAGAAAAUCAACAUGUUAUACAGUGAGCUUCUCCAGAGUCUAGUGCCAAAGGAGAAAUAUGACAAAAAUGAUGUUAUUUUAGAGGUGACAUCUGGAAGAACUACUGGAGGUGAUAUCUGCCAACAAUUUACCCGGGAAAUAUUUGAUAUGUAUCAGAAUUAUUCAAGCUACAAACACUGGAAAUUUGAACUUGUGAAUUAUACACCAGCUGAUUAUGGUGGGCUACAUCAUGCAGCCGCCCGAAUUUCCGGUGACAAUGUCUAUAAGCAUUUGAAGUAUGAAGGUGGGAUUCACCGAGUUCAGCGAAUUCCUGAGGUGGGCCUGUCGUCAAGGAUGCAGCGUAUUCACACGGGAACGAUGUCGGUUAUUGUCCUCCCUCAACCAGAUGAGGUAGAUGUGAAAGUGGACCCCAAGGAUUUACGAAUAGAUACAUUUCGAGCCAAAGGAGCAGGAGGGCAGCAUGUUAAUACAACUGAUAGUGCUGUCAGACUUGUCCAUGUCCCCACAGGACUUGUAGUAGAAUGCCAACAAGAACGAUCACAGAUAAAAAAUAAAGAAAUAGCUUUGCGUGUGUUGAGAGCUAGACUCUACCAGCAGAUUAUUGAGAAAGACAAGUGUCAACAACAGAGUGUGAGAAAACUGCAGGUGGGAACAAGAGCCCAGUCAGAGAGAAUUCGGACAUAUAAUUUCACCCAGGAUAGAGUCACUGACCACAGGAUAGCAUAUGAAGUUCGUAAUAUUAAGGAAUUUUUAUGUGGGGAGAAGUGCCUGGAUCAGCUAAUUCAGAGAUUGCUUCAAUCAGCGGAUGAAGAAACCAUUAAUGAAUUUUUGGAUGAAAAUCUUAAAUCAGCAAAAUAAAUACUGAUUUAUAAUUUAUUAUUAUAUAAAUGAAAUGGACCUAUGUCAAGAAGCAGACCGAGGCCUCUCACUGUUGCGGCCUCUCCCGUUGCGGAGCACAGGCUCCGGACACGCAGGCUCAGCGGCCAUGGCUUACGGGCCCAGCCGCUCCGUGGCAUGUGGGAUCUUCCCAGACCGGGGCAUGAACCCGUGUCCCCUGCAUCGGCAGGUGGACUCUCAACCACUGCACCACCAGGGAAGCCCUAACCUGCUACUUUUAAAUAAAAAAGUAAAUAAAAGUUGUGAAGAAUAUGAGUUGCUAACUGUGAGCAUCUAUCUCUAGGAUAUAGAUGGUAGAGCUCUUGGAGAGCUGAGUGAACUCUGUAGUGUACAAACUACAAGUCAAUAUUUAAAGCAGACUCUCUGCUUGGCUUCUAUUUUCUAAUUGUUCUUUGACUUAACAAGCAUCAACAGAUGUGGUGUAAUAUGAGUAAUUCACUGAGGUCGUUUUUGUGCCGUGAUAUAUAAAACCUAGUCCUUACCUUACAGAACUUCCAGCUGAGCAGGGAGCCAAAAUAUAAGUCCCCAACUCUAAUUCAAAGUGGCAUGUUGUAUUUAGUAAUUUUUCUCGGGAAGUUUCUUGAGUGAAAAAGAGAGCGGUUGUUAUUUUAGAUAGUUCCUCAAGAGAGGAACUGUAUGCCAGGAAAGGCUAAUUAAAAUAGAGUUUUGUUGUUUUUUUGUUUUUUUGUUUUUUUCGGUAUGCAAGCCUCUCACUGUUGUGGCUUCUCCCGUUGCGGAGCACAGGCUUGGGACGCGCAGGCUCUGCGGCCAUGGCUCACGGGCCCAGCCGCUCUGCAGCACGUGGGAUCUUCCCGGACUGGGGCAUGAACCCACGUCCCCUGCAUCGGCAGGCGGACUCUCAACCACUGUGCCACCAGGGAAGCCCUAAAAUAGAGUUUUAAGACCAAUUGAAUGAUUUGGAGGUAAAGAUGAGAGAAAUUUUUUCCCAAAUUUUUAUUUUGAAAAUUUUCAAGCACACAGAAAAGUUUUAAAAAUAAUUUUUAAGAAACAGUUCAAUGAAUAUUUUAUCAUCUAGAUUCAACCAUUGUUAAUAUUUUGCCACAUUAGCUUUUUUUG